This 253-nucleotide ribosomal RNA is filed under the name uncultured prokaryote. RNAcentral's name for it is "partial 16S ribosomal RNA". It matches the Rfam family "Bacterial small subunit ribosomal RNA", at positions 524 to 776 of the family's 1533-position model. The record is from RNAcentral.
UACUUAGGGACCAAGCGUUGUUCGGAUUUACUGGGCGUAAAGGGCGCGUAGGCGGCAUGACAAGUCACUUGUGAAAUCUCCGGGCUUAACUCGGAACGGCCAAGUGAUACUGUCGCGCUAGAGUGCGGAAGGGGCAAUCAGAACUCUUGGUGUAGCGGUGAAAUGCGUAGAUAUCGAGAGGAACACCUGCGGCGAAGGCGGGUUGCUGGGCUGACACUGACGCUGAUGCGCGAAAGCCAGGGGAGCGAACGGG